Molecule: non-coding RNA, 4772 nt
Organism: Ictidomys tridecemlineatus (thirteen-lined ground squirrel)
Lineage: Eukaryota; Metazoa; Chordata; Mammalia; Rodentia; Sciuridae
Source: RefSeq, a predicted model, not a curated record
UCUCUCUCUGCAUCUUGAUCUCCAUGAUGUCAGCUGCGUCCUUCUGCCACAUGCUUCACCAUGAUGUUCAGCCUCCUCUUAAGCCCCCCAAAAAGGAGCCAGGCUUCUAUGGACUAAGAUCUCUGAAACCGUGAGCCCUCAGAUAAACUCUUCCUCCUUUAUUGUUGCUCUUGUCAGAUCCUUUAGUCACAGCAGCGAAAGAGCUGACUAAAACAAUCCUAACAGACAGGCACCAGCUUAGAAUCAGAGCCGCCCAGGACGGUGGUGGCUGCUGCGUAUCCCGCAGUGCUCUGGCCUUCUGGACUCCGCUGCUCCUGGUGUUUUCCUGUUUCCCCACAGAGACGGGUGGGAGGGAUCUGGCAGGUGUUUGGGACGGUCGUGCCAAUCUUCUCCCUGCUGGAGAUGUGGACCGCGUCAGCCUUCUCUGCUGUGGAAUCCUCGUGGAAGAGUGUGAAACAGAGAAUUGGAGAAUGUGUUUGUAAAAGUAAUAUGGAGCCAUGCAAAUUUCUUUAACAUACCACCGCAGUCCUGGUGGGGAGCACAGGUGUGCAGUUACUCACAACUCUCCCAGCACAAGUGAGAUGCAAAGGAGCAGACACCAUCCCUGUCUCUGACAUCACAAAUCCAACUGGCACGGUCUUCAGAGCUGUGAAAAUACAACAGGAGAAUACACCGUUCUCUUCCCUGGAGGAGUGCUGGAAGCUAAUCUGGGUGCUAACACCCUCAGCACCCUGGUCUCCAUUGUUGGACUCUGCCUUGUAUCAUACAGUUUAUGAAUAUUUUCCAUUAUGAUUGCAAAGCAGAUUCUACAUGUGUUGGUAUCAAAGCUAUUGCAACUGUAAGUAUUUUCCUCCAGAGUUCUGUAAACACUGUUGAUUUGAGCCUCAGGAAGAUGAAACAUGAUAUUUGGUACACUCAGGAACAUGACUAAGCCUCUAAAGAUUCCUUGCAAAUGCCUCUCUAAAGCAUAAUGUCACUUUUAGGAAGGUAACACAUUUUUCUUUUAGAAUAUCAGAAAAUGCAACUCAUUUAAUUCAACUUCAUUUCUUAAGAGGAAAGGGAAGAGGUUUAAAUCUAGAUAAAAGAUAAAGAUGACUUUAUUUUUUGUUUAUUAUUUUAAAAAUUGCUUUAUGUUGUAAAUAUUUAUUCCGGCUAUGACUUAAACACAAGUAUCAAUCCAAUACCCUGGAUAAUUAAUAUUUAUUCUGAUUUGGUGAUGUCUGAAUGUGAGCCCCUAUUUGCACUAAGUCCAUGUGAAAAAGGUGGAGACCCAGGGCCUGAAACAGAAGAGUACUCACCUUAUAGAAAGAAAUCAGGCAGUCCUGGGACACCAGAGACACGUUUCACUUAUGAAGAUCAUGAUAAAAAAUUCUGCAAUUUGUUAUUUGAUUUUUAACUUUAAGAGGUACUCAAAAUUUAGGAUACCUUCAGUUUUAAUGGGGACUCAAUGGAAAAUUGGCAACUUUGAAUGUCACUGGGAGAUAGCAAUCUCUGUCACUUCUGUCCUCUGUGGAUAAAAGCCAGCUUUGAAGGCUUUGGAAGUAUUUCUGAUAUCUGUGAUGGACUGGCAAUCACUUCUGCAAUAAUAUUAAAAAAGACCAUCAUCACAACAAUAUAUUAAUGAAAAUAAGAAGUCAAAAACCUUUUCUUGGUGAAUUCUGAAAAAAUCAUCAAUGAUUUUCUUCCCAUAUGAUAUUGUUAUGUCCACAAAGAUUGGAGUUUAGUCUGCAAUUGCUUGCUCUUCUUCAGUGGAACAUCUGUUUGUGUGUUCCAAUCCCAACUCAUGCCCACAUUUUUUUACAAUGGAAUGACUGUCCCAUUUUGAGAGCCUUAUUUGGAGUUCUAAAAUAAAACUCUCCAAACUGCCAUCAGGGUGGCAUAGGAUGGGAAGUUAUGAAAUUUUCUUUAUUUAACAGGGAUUUGUGGCCAUCCUAAUGAUGCUGACCUGUCUGCAAAUGUUAAUCUCACUCCUUCUCUCCAUGGUCAAGUAUAAUGUAGAUGACAAGAAUAUUUACUGGGUGAGUACAAUUCUUGAGAGAAUAGGAACAAAUUCCAUUAUUUCAUUGAAUGAUGUCAAGAAUUCUUUUUUACCUUUGAUGAAACAAACUAUGGAGAAAAGCUGCAAGAGGUUCUGUGUCCACAGUGAAGAAGGAAGGUCAUGGGCAGGCUUAACCCCAAGGGCAUGGCAGAAGAUGCUUUCCAUAAGUAAGACAUUUUCCCUCUCACGUUUUAUUAUAAGAAGCAACAGAACAGCUGCGUUUUCCAUAUUAUGUUUGGAAAUCUCCUCAGUCACAUGUCCACGUUGACCAUUUAUCAUUUUUGUUUUCAACACAUAAGUGCCCGAGAGAACUCUGUGCAACUUCUGCUACUUCACAUCAAUACCUCUUUCCAGUCUCCGUAGCACGUGCCGCUCUUCCUUGGGACAACAGACAACAUUCUCAGUGUCCUCAUUUCUCCUAACAGAAUGAGUCACCUUAGGUUUUUUCAUUUGUUCAUUUGUUUGUUUCAAUACUGCUCCUCAAAAAUUCUUAAAUCUCUUUCAGUUGAAGGUGUUGUCCUAUCUUUUAAUUAAAGAUAUCACAGAAUUGGUUAUCAAAAUUCUUAAAUUUCUUUCAGAUUUAAUGCUUCUCCUAGAUUUUAGAUAUUGGUUUUGGUAACAUCUCGUAACCAGUGCCAGACUAUGUAAGUGUUUUCUAUUGUUGCAUAACAAUUCCAAUAAACUGACAAAUUAGAAAUAAUAUCUCCUAUCUCCUUACCAUCACAAAGUUCUGAAGAUCAGAUUCCAGGUGGGCCUGGCUGGAUUCUCCUGGCUGGACCCCUUAAUUGUGGGUCAGGGUUCACCCUCAGUCUUAGAGGACACUGACAGAUAUUUUGGAGGGAGAGCUCUCUCUUUGCUGAGCACUAUCAUCUUUACAUCUCCCCUACUUCUUCUUUUACCAGAAAGAGAAAACACUGGUUUUCUUAAGUAUCUGAGGAUUGAACCCAGGACACUCAUGCCCUGAGCUAUGUCACCAGCGACUUUCAUCUUAUUUAGAGAGAGAGGUCUUGCUAAGUUGCCCAGGCAGGCCUCAUGUUUGCAGUCCUCCUGCUGCAGACUCCUGAGUAGUGGGAUGAGAGGCCCGUUCCCCAGAGUUGGGCUAAAAUGUCCAGCUUUGAAAUCUCCUGGGAUGACAUUUGGCCCUUGAAGUAGUGCAUUUCCCACCACAUUAUAUAACAGAAUCGGAGGAUGGCACCAUCCAUUGAGGUGAUAAAGAGACAUGAAAACAGCCGCUACAGCUACAGCUGCUCUCUCAUAUCUUUACCGUGUGCAUAGCGAGAGUGCACAGAACAAAGACAUCUACUUGUUAGACCACGGAUCUGAGUGAAACACGUUUCUUCUCUCACAGGACACGCUCGCGUGCGCCUUUCUUCCCAUGCAGACCUCACCGUCACCGUCAGUUCAUUCAUUAGACUCCUUUGAGUCUAAAACACACGCAGCUCACCAGGGUACUGUCGCCCAGUGAGCAUACCGCACCAAUCUCAGGUGUCAAGGUCUUUGAAUACUGUAGUUCUCAUCAACAAAUCCUUGUGGUAAGUCCUGGGACAAAUUAUUAGUCCUAAUAAGGAUUCUGAGGUGGGAAUUAUGGAGAUCUCCCAAGAUGUGGUACAAAUUACUAAGGCUCCAUCACAGUUUCUUGGCUGAGAGGGAUCAACUUUUCCACUCCCCUCUGCCCUGUUACACCACUGUCCAUGUCUAUGCCUCUUGGAGUGGGCUUUGGAGAAACCCUUUCACCUGUGCAUCCAGUUCCUAAUGGGGGCGGGGGUUGUGCUGGAGCUGAUUGACACUUCAGACCUUCCCUGGCCAUUGCAAGCCAGGGCUUUGUGACGAGAUGUAAAGGCAGAUGUUUUAUUCUCAACAUUUGGCUUUUUCCUCUGGGCUCUGUGAAGGUGGUUCCAGUCCCCACUGUUACAUCCACAUCCCACUCAGCAGAAAGGAAGAGGGAAAUGGGAGCAUAGCCCCUUAGGCUUAAGUGAGUGACCCCUAAGUAAGACACGGCAUGCAUCGUCACAUUUCACCAGCCAUUUCUUCAUCUUGAGCUGCCAGAGUGCCUGGGAUAUAAAGAAACAACUGAAUAUUCAUUUUCAAGUUUAGACUAUUACAAUUAUUAUUAAAGAAUAAGAAGGGAAAUAUCAGCAGCAGAACCAUAGGUUAGGCAUUAUAAGAAAUUUAUGAAGAUAGAAUAAUCAUUUCUCAUUAAAAUUUAUAUCAUAUUAUAUUACCAAAUAAUCAAAAGAGAAUGGUAUAGCACUACACACAAUCACAACUAAGAUGUUUGCACAGAAACACAAAAAACAUGUUCAAAAACUUUGGAAGCUUAUUUAUAUUCCCUUAGUAACUCAUUAUCUUCGAGUCCCUCAGAGGUUUACCAUAUUGCCAAAGAUCCAAUACUAUCUUGUUGAUAUUCCUCAUUCAACAUCAUAAAGGGGGGAACCCUACUACCUCUCCCUAUUUUUGUUAUGCAAGAAUUAUUUUAACAAGGAUGCAUCGUUUUUUUUCCUUCAUCUUCCUGAAAUGCUGGUAUGAUAGACUGAUAACUCUCUUGGCAAAAUAUUGAGGAAAAAAAUGAAUCCUGAGGUAGUUUCAGUCAUGAUUGACGUUGAUGUCAACUUCUGCCCUGUUUGGAGUUCAUUCAUUAGACUCCUUUGAGUCCAAAACACAUGCAGCUCACCAGUAUAAUGAGGAGUGUUAUUUUGAAGCAAUGUAUUUCGAAAUCAGUAGACUUAGGUGUGGU